RNAcentral lists this unclassified non-coding RNA (217 nucleotides) under soil metagenome. RNAcentral describes it as "partial contains small subunit ribosomal RNA and internal transcribed spacer 1". The record is from RNAcentral.
UUUCCGUAGGUGAACCUGCGGAAGGAUCAUUCCAAAUCAAAACUUGUAAAUUAUCCCGGCGUCCUUGCAGGCAAAGGGUUAGUUUGCACCUCAAUCUACGCUCCAAUUUUACAACCUUAUUUCUCUUUCCACGGCGGUGCUGUUUGCCCGUCCAAUCAAAGAUUUCUUUUCCUUUUCUAUUAUGUAAAGGAUCAUGACGGUGGAUACAUUGGUUUCU